CAUAUAUCAUCUUCAUAUAAAACAUUUAUUUAUUAAUAAUAUUCAAUAAAAAUAAUUUAAUUAAAAUACCCGAUCCUUUCGUACUAAAAUAUUUAAUUUAUUAAAAGAUAGAAACCAACCUGGCUUACACCGGUUUGAACUCAGAUCAUGUAAGAUUUUAAUGAUCGAACAGAUCAAAAAUUUUAAACUUUUGCAUUUAAAUUUUAUCUUAAUCCAACAUCGAGGUCGCAAACUCUUUUUCUUAUAUGAACUAAAAAAAAAAAUUACGCUGUUAUCCCUAAGGUAAUUUAUUCUUAUAAUCAAUAAAAUUGGAUCAUAUAAUCACUUAUUUAUGUAUAAAUUCAAAAAAAGUUUAAUUAAUUUUCCUAUCACCCCAACAAAACAAUUAACAAAAUUUCAAUUAAUAUAUCUUUAUAAAUAAUUUUAAUUUUUUAAAUUAUAAAACUCUAUAGGGUCUUCUCGUCUUUUUAAAUUAUUUUAACUUUUUAAUUAAAAAAUUAAAUUCAAUAAACUAAUAUAAAGACAGCUUAUAUUUCAUCCAAUCCUUCAUACAAGUCACCAAUUAAGAGACUAAUGAUUAUGCUACCUUUGUACAGUCAAAAUACUGCAGCCCUUCAAUAUUUUAAUCAGUGGGCAGAUUAGACUUUAAAUUAAACCCAAAAAGACAUGUUUUUGAUAAACAAGUGAAUAUAAAAAUUUGCCGAAUUCCUUUAAACUAAUUAGUAUAAAAUCUUAUAUUAUAAAAAAAAUUUUAUUUAUAUACUAAUUUUAUCAUUUUAUUUAAAUUUAUAAAAUUAAAAAAUUAUUUUUUAUAAAAAAUUAAAUUAAAUAAAAUUUUUAAUUUAAAUGAAAUUAUUUAUAAUUAAAUUAAAAUUUAUUAACAAUAUAAAUUAUAAAAUUUUCAAUCUAUAAAAAUAAAUUAAUUAUAAAAAUUUAAUUUAAAGCUUAUCCCCUAAAAUAUUAAAUUUAAUUUUAAAUUUAAUUAAUUAAUUAAUUAAAUUUAAAAUUAAAUAAAAAAUUAAAUUUUUUUCUAAAAAAACCAGAUAUAUUUAAAAACGAUUAACAUUUCAUUUCAAAUUAAUUAUUAAAAAUAUUUAUGCCACAAUAACUUUUAUAAUUAAUUAUCUCUUUUAAAUUCGAGAAAUUUAUUACUAAAUAAAAAAUUAUUAAUAAACUCUGAUACACAAGAUACAAUAAAUAAAAUUUACUUUUAAAUAAAUUAAAUUUUCAAAUAUAUUUCAAAAUUCUUUUACAAUACUAAUUAACUAUAAAUUUUUAAAUUUUUUCUAUUAAAAAUACUUUAACCCCCAUUAAAUAUUUUAAUAUUAAAAUUUAUUUUAUUAUAAAUUAACUUAUUGAUUUUUCCCC
RNAcentral lists this ribosomal RNA (1368 nucleotides) under Prismostictoides unihyala. Its description in RNAcentral is "16S ribosomal RNA". Lineage: Eukaryota; Metazoa; Arthropoda; Insecta; Lepidoptera; Endromidae. The record is from RNAcentral.